RNAcentral lists this ribosomal RNA (206 nucleotides) under uncultured bacterium. RNAcentral describes it as "partial 16S ribosomal RNA". It matches the Rfam family "Bacterial small subunit ribosomal RNA", at positions 568 to 774 of the family's 1533-position model. The record is from RNAcentral.
CGCGUAGGCGGCCAACUAAGUCGGACGUGAAAUCCCCUGGCUCAACCAGGGAACUGCGUCCGAUACUGAUUGGCUUGAAUCCGGGAGAGGGAUGUGGAAUUCCAGGUGUAGCGGUGAAAUGCGUAGAUAUCUGGAGGAACACCGGUGGCGAAGGCGGCAUCCUGGACCGACACUGACGCUGAGGCGCGAAAGCUAGGGAGCAAACG